GGGGCUGACAAAGCUUAGACGGUUGAUUAACAAUUCAUUUCGCGGGUCGAUUUAUACUCGUAAAGUAUUUUCGUAAAUGCAAACACAUUUGCAAAAGCGAAAGCCAAAAUUGCGGACUUGUUCGCGGUUAAGGCUUUUGCGCCAGCUUUGGCUUGAUUGCCAAUAGCCACCAAACCCCUGACUUGGCAUAGGGGGAGAGGUGUCAUAUUAUGCCAAUAUUUCCGGUUGUUUUUUGAAGCAGGAUAACUGGAGGAAACUUUUUGCUUUGGCACUCUUGGUUUUGCUUUUUCCAGCCAAGAGGCUUAUGCCACGAAAGAAAAAGCUAUGCUCGUAGAAAAAUGGAUUAUUAUCAUUCGGACCGGGAGGCAGUAUCCCGCAGCUCCACCA
RNAcentral lists this transfer-messenger RNA (387 nucleotides) under Candidatus Nomurabacteria bacterium. It matches the Rfam family "transfer-messenger RNA". From Rfam's summary of the family: Bacterial tmRNA, also known as 10Sa RNA or SsrA, is named for its dual tRNA and mRNA-like properties. Its role is to liberate the mRNA from a stalled ribosome. To accomplish this part of the tmRNA is used as a reading frame that ends in a translation stop signal. The record is from RNAcentral. Lineage: Bacteria; Candidatus Nomuraibacteriota.